This 64-nucleotide transfer RNA is filed under the name Camelus ferus (Wild Bactrian camel). It matches the Rfam family "tRNA". Rfam says of the family: Transfer RNA (tRNA) molecules are approximately 80 nucleotides in length. Their secondary structure includes four short double-helical elements and three loops (D, anti-codon, and T loops). The record is from Rfam by way of RNAcentral. Lineage: Eukaryota; Metazoa; Chordata; Mammalia; Artiodactyla; Camelidae.
GUGGAUAUAGCUCAGUGGUAGAGCGCAUGCGCAAGGUCCUGGGUUCAAUCUCCCAGUACCUCCA